Molecule: transfer RNA, 72 nt
Organism: Ovis aries (sheep)
Lineage: Eukaryota; Metazoa; Chordata; Mammalia; Artiodactyla; Bovidae
Rfam family: tRNA
About the family: Transfer RNA (tRNA) molecules are approximately 80 nucleotides in length. Their secondary structure includes four short double-helical elements and three loops (D, anti-codon, and T loops).
Source: Rfam
UCCCUGGUGGCUCAGAAGGUAGAGUGUCUGCCUGCAAUGCGGGAGACCUGGGUUCGAUCCCUGGGUCGGGAA